This 274-nucleotide ribosomal RNA is filed under the name uncultured bacterium. RNAcentral describes it as "partial 16S ribosomal RNA". It matches the Rfam family "Bacterial small subunit ribosomal RNA", at positions 523 to 796 of the family's 1533-position model. The record is from RNAcentral.
AUACGGAGGGUGCAAGCGUUAUCCGGAUUCAUUGGGUUUAAAGGGUGCGCAGGCGGACUUGUAAGUCAGUGGUGAAAUCACGGGGCUCAACCUCGGAACUGCCAUUGAUACUGCAAGUCUUGAGUUUGGUUGAAGUGGGCGGAAUGUAGCAUGUAGCGGUGAAAUGCAUAGAUAUGCUACAGAACACCGAUCGCGAAGGCAGCUCACUAAACCAACACUGACGCUCAGGCACGAAAGCGUGGGGAGCGAACAGGAUUAGAAACCCGAGUAGUCC